AUUGAACGCUAGCGGGAUGCCUUACACAUGCAAGUCGAACGGAGUGGCGAACGGGUGCGUAAUGUAUCGGAACGUGCCCAGUAGCUGGGGAUAACUACGCGAAAGCGUAGCUAAUACCGCAUACACUUGGCGUGGCCGAUAUGGGAUUAGCUAGUUGGGGGGGGAACGGCUCACCAAGGCGACGAUCCGUAGCUGGUUUGAGAGGACGACCAGCCACACUGGGACUGAGACACGGCCCAGACUCCUACGGGAGGCAGCAGUGGGGAAUUUUGGACAAUGGGGGAAACCCUGAUGCAGCCAUCCCGCGUGUGCGAUGAAGGCCUUCGGGUUGUAAAGCACUUUUGGCAGGAAAGCGGUACCUGCAGAAGAAGCACCGGCUAACUACGUGCCAGCAGCCGCGGUAAUAC
This 407-nucleotide ribosomal RNA is filed under the name uncultured bacterium. RNAcentral's name for it is "partial 16S ribosomal RNA". It matches the Rfam family "Bacterial small subunit ribosomal RNA", at positions 30 to 526 of the family's 1533-position model. The record is from RNAcentral.